AAGGAAUAUUGGACAAUGGAGGGAACUCUGAUCCAGCCAUGCCGCGUGAAGGAUGACUGCCCUAUGGGUUGUAAACUUCUUUUGAGUGGGAACAAAAUGCCUGAUUAAUCAGGAGCUGAGGGUACCACUAGAAUAAGCACCGGCUAACUCCGUGCCAGCAGCCGCGGUAAUACGGAGGGUGCAAGCGUUAUCCGGAAUCACUGGGUUUAAAGGGUGCGUAGGCGGUAUAGUAAGUCAGUCGUGAAAUUCAUCGGCUUAACUGAUUGAACUGCGAUUGAUACUGUUAUACUUGAAUCAAGUUGAGGUAGGCGGAAUGUGGCAUGUAGCGGUGAAAUGCAUAGAUAUGCCAUAGAACACCGAUUGCGAAGGCAGCUUGCUGGGCUUUGAUUGACGCUGAGGCACGAAAGCGUGGGGAGCAAAC
This 421-nucleotide ribosomal RNA is filed under the name uncultured bacterium. RNAcentral describes it as "bacterial SSU rRNA". It matches the Rfam family "Bacterial small subunit ribosomal RNA", at positions 356 to 773 of the family's 1533-position model. The record is from RNAcentral.